AGCGAACGUUAGCGGCGGGCCUAACACAUGCAAGUCGCGCGAGAAAGGGACUUCGGGUCCUGAGUACAGCGGCGGACGGGUGAGUAACACGUAGGUAACCUGCCCUUUAGUGGGGGACAACGGGUCCGAAAGGACCGCUAAUACCGCAUAAGUUCCUCGGGACUUUGGUCCUGGGGAGGAAAGCCUCGCAAGGGGCGCUGAAGGAGGGGCCUGCGUCGCAUCAGCUAGUUGGUGGGGUAAUGGCCUACCGAAGGCGAAGACGCGUAGCUGGUCUGAGAGGAUGAUCAGCCACACUGGGACUGAGACACGGCCCAGACUCCUACGGGAGGCAGCA
This 334-nucleotide ribosomal RNA is filed under the name uncultured bacterium. RNAcentral describes it as "bacterial SSU rRNA". It matches the Rfam family "Bacterial small subunit ribosomal RNA", at positions 30 to 353 of the family's 1533-position model. The record is from RNAcentral.